RNAcentral lists this ribosomal RNA (406 nucleotides) under uncultured bacterium. RNAcentral's name for it is "partial 16S ribosomal RNA". It matches the Rfam family "Bacterial small subunit ribosomal RNA", at positions 30 to 526 of the family's 1533-position model. The record is from RNAcentral.
AUUGUACGCUGGCGGCAGGCCUAACACAUGCAAGUCGAACGAGUGGCGGACGGGUGAGUAAUGUCUGGGAAACUGCCUGAUGGAGGGGGAUAACUACUGGAAAAGGUAGCUAAUACCGCAUACCAUCAGAUGUGCCCAGAUGGGAUUAGCUUGUUGGUGGGGUACCGGCUCACCAAGGCGACGAUCCCUAGCUGGUCUGAGAGGAUGACCAGCCACACUGUAACUGAGGCACGGUCCAGACGCCUACGGGAGGCAGCAGUGGGGAAUAUGGAACAAUGGGCGCAAGCCUGAUGCAGCCAUGCCGGGUGUAUGAAGAAGGCCUUCGGGUUGUAAAGUACUUUCAGCGGGGAGGAGUUACCCGCAGAAGAAGCACCGGCUAACUCGGUGCCAGCGGCCGCGGUAAUAC